GGGGGCGUAGCUCAGUUGGUUAGAGCGCCGGCCUGUCACGCCGGAGGCCGCGGGUUCGAGCCCCGUCGCUCCCGCCA
RNAcentral lists this transfer RNA (77 nucleotides) under Alphaproteobacteria bacterium. RNAcentral's name for it is "tRNA-Asp". It matches the Rfam family "tRNA". Rfam says of the family: Transfer RNA (tRNA) molecules are approximately 80 nucleotides in length. Their secondary structure includes four short double-helical elements and three loops (D, anti-codon, and T loops). The record is from RNAcentral. RNAcentral also lists the same sequence under 3 other names. Lineage: Bacteria; Pseudomonadati; Pseudomonadota; Alphaproteobacteria.